AUUGAACGCUGGCGGAAUGCUUUACACAUGCAAGUCGAACGGCAGCACGGGGCAACCUGGUGGCGAGUGGCGAACGGGUGAGUAAUACAUCGGAACGUGCCCAAUCGUGGGGGAUAACGUAGCGAAAGUUACGCUAAUACCGCAUACGAUCUACGGAUGAAAGCGGGGGAUCGCAAGACCUCGCGCGAAUGGAGCGGCCGAUGUCAGAUUAGGUAGUUGGUGGGGUAAAGGCUCACCAAGCCAACGAUCUGUAGCUGGUCUGAGAGGACGACCAGCCACACUGGAACUGAGACACGGUCCAGACUCCUACGGGAGGCAGCAGUGGGAAUUUUGGACAAUGGGCGCAAGCCUGAUCCAGCCAUUCCGCGUGCAGGAUGAA
This 379-nucleotide ribosomal RNA is filed under the name uncultured bacterium. RNAcentral's name for it is "bacterial SSU rRNA". It matches the Rfam family "Bacterial small subunit ribosomal RNA", at positions 30 to 412 of the family's 1533-position model. The record is from RNAcentral.